This 502-nucleotide ribosomal RNA is filed under the name uncultured bacterium. Its description in RNAcentral is "bacterial SSU rRNA". It matches the Rfam family "Bacterial small subunit ribosomal RNA", at positions 28 to 529 of the family's 1533-position model. The record is from RNAcentral.
AAUAAACGUUGGCGGCGUGGAUUAGGCAUGCAAGUCGAGGGAGAACCCGCAAGGGGGACACCGGCGAACGGGGUAGGAUCACCUCGGUGACGUACCCUCCGGACGGGGAUAGCGACGGGAAACUGUCGGUAAUACCCGAUGAUCUGGCGAGCUUUUGAGGCUUGUCAGCAAAGGUGAGAUUCCACCGGAGGAGCGGCUGAGGCGCUAUUAGCUAGUUGGGGAGGUAACGGCUCACCAAGGCGACGAUGGCUAGGGGGGUGUGAGAGCAUGGCCCCCCACCACUGGCACUGAGACACUGGCCAGACACCUACGGGCGGCUGCAGUCGAGAAUCUUCGGCAAUGGGCGCAAGCCUGACCGAGCGACGCCGCGUGCGGGAUGAAGGUCUUCGGAUUGUAAACCGCUGUCGGAGGGGAUGAAGUGUACGGGGGCUAUCCCCUGUAUUUGACAGAGCCUCGGAGGAAGCACGGGCUAAGUUCGUGCCAGCAGCCGCGGUAAUGUGUG